This 87-nucleotide signal recognition particle RNA is filed under the name Pediococcus claussenii. RNAcentral describes it as "signal recognition particle sRNA small type". It matches the Rfam family "Bacterial small signal recognition particle RNA". Rfam says of the family: The signal recognition particle (SRP) is a universally conserved ribonucleoprotein involved in the co-translational targeting of proteins to membranes. Archaeal SRP consists of a 7S RNA and homologues of the eukaryotic SRP19 and SRP54 proteins. RNAcentral also lists the same sequence under 1 other name. Lineage: Bacteria; Bacillati; Bacillota; Bacilli; Lactobacillales; Lactobacillaceae. The record is from RNAcentral.
GCCUUAAGGCAAGGUCGAAUUUACGAAUCGUGUCAGAUCCGGAAGGAAGCAGCACUAAGUUUACUUCGGUUUGUGCCUUAAGUUAUU